This is a long non-coding RNA of Gallus gallus (chicken), 435 nucleotides long. Lineage: Eukaryota; Metazoa; Chordata; Aves; Galliformes; Phasianidae. The record is from Ensembl.
GUUGCUGUUUUUUUAAGGCCAUGGAAACUUGGAAUUGAAUAUGCAAUAACAGAACUGUGCUGACUUUGAAUGGGAAUUAAUGUCAAAGAUGCCCCUGAAGUCCAAAGCUGGAAUUCAGAGGAAAGACUUCUACAGAACGUUUUGACCUCUAUCAGCAGCAGACUGCCUCGAAGACCUGCAGGACAAAGAAUGGCUUUGCUAACUGAGCCUACUAUAUGCUCCCAGAAAAAACUGUGCUGGGACAGAAGACAGCAGAAGAUACCUGUAAAGAUGAUUACGAAUGGCAAGGUGGCUGAAUCCUGGCACAGGAGAUAGGACAGCGUGACCCCAACGAGCUACCUGAUAGACAUGGCAAAACAAAAACAUCCUUGAUUUCUUCUUGCAUGUUUUGGAGGACAUGAGCGAGUAGUGCCUGAAAUAAAGAGUCCGUUUCAC